AUUGAACGCUGGCGGCAGGCUUAACACAUGCAAGUCGAGCGGUAGCACAAGAGAGCUUGCUCUCUGGGUGACGAGCGGCGGACGGGUGAGUAAUGUCUGGGAAACUGCCUGAUGGAGGGGGAUAACUACUGGAAACGGUAGCUAAUACCGCAUAACGUCGCAAGACCAAAGAGGGGGACCUUCGGGCCUCUUGCCAUCAGAUGUGCCCAGAUGGGAUUAGCUAGUAGGUGGGGUAAUGGCUCACCUAGGCGACGAUCCCUAGCUGGUCUGAGAGGAUGACCAGCCACACUGGAACUGAGACACGGUCCAGACCCCUACGGGAGGCAGCAGUGGGGAAUAUUGCACAAUGGGCGCAAGCCUGAUGCAGCCAUGCCGCGUGUGUGAAGAAGGCCUUCGGGUUGUAAAGCACUUUCAGCGAGGAGGAAGGUGGUGAACUUAAUACGUUCAUCAAUUGACGUUACUCGCAGAAGAAGCACCGGCUAACUCCGUG
RNAcentral lists this ribosomal RNA (490 nucleotides) under uncultured bacterium. RNAcentral describes it as "partial 16S ribosomal RNA". It matches the Rfam family "Bacterial small subunit ribosomal RNA", at positions 30 to 507 of the family's 1533-position model. The record is from RNAcentral.